Molecule: ribosomal RNA, 254 nt
Filed under: uncultured bacterium
Lineage: Bacteria
Description: partial 16S ribosomal RNA
Rfam family: Bacterial small subunit ribosomal RNA
Source: RNAcentral
UACGGGGGGAGCAAGCGUUGUUCGGAUUUACUGGGCGUAAAGGGCGCGUAGGCGGUCGUGACAAGUCACUUGUGAAAUCUCCGGGCUUAACUCGGAACGGUCAAGUGAUACUGUCGGACUAGAGUACAGAAGGGGCAACUGGAAUUCUCGGUGUAGCGGUGAAAUGCGUAGAUAUCGAGAGGAACACCUGCGGCGAAGGCGGGUUGCUGGGCUGAUACUGACGCUGAGGCGCGAAAGCAUGGGGAGCGAAUGGG